This 389-nucleotide long non-coding RNA is filed under the name Vitis vinifera (wine grape). RNAcentral's name for it is "long non-coding RNA (VVIN_LNC007594)". Lineage: Eukaryota; Viridiplantae; Streptophyta; Magnoliopsida; Vitales; Vitaceae. The record is from RNAcentral.
AUCAUUGAGACGUCAUCCUAGGUUAAAUCUAUGCUCAUUGAGACUUCCUUUUGUUUCCCAUCAUUGCGAAUCUGUCACACCCCUGUUUUUUUUUUUUUUUUUUCGAACUUUACAAUUGAUACUCAAAUACAGUAUAAGUGCUCUAAAAAAAAUGAGGAUACAAAAAUUUAAAUGUCGAGUUUCUGCUUGAUUUGGUGCAAAAAGAGAAUAUGCAAAACUUGUUAUAAAGAGUACAUCCUAUAUUAAACUUUAUAACAAUUAGUUAACAAAAUAUGAUUCAUUUUACAAAAGAAACUUGUACUAUGUUAAUUUACAUAUAUAUCAAAACCCCAUGGUUCACUACGGGUAGCCCAUACUACAAGUGUACCUGACAAAUAUUUAUAUUACAU